GUGCGGCUGGAUCACCUCCUUUCUAAGGAGCACCACGAAAAGCACUCCAAUUGGUGGGGUGCGAGCCGUGAGGGGUCCUCGCCUGUAGUGGGCGCGGGCCGGGUGCACAACAGCAAAUGAUUGCCAGACACACUAUUGGGCCCUGAGACAACACUCGGCCAGUCCGUGUGGUGUCCCUCCAUCUUGGUGGUGGGGUGUGGUGUUUGAGUAUUGGAUAGUGGUUGCGAGCAU
RNAcentral lists this unclassified non-coding RNA (231 nucleotides) under Mycobacterium parascrofulaceum. Its description in RNAcentral is "partial 16S-23S ribosomal RNA intergenic spacer". The record is from RNAcentral. Lineage: Bacteria; Bacillati; Actinomycetota; Actinomycetes; Mycobacteriales; Mycobacteriaceae.